This 1376-nucleotide long non-coding RNA is filed under the name Linum usitatissimum (flax). RNAcentral's name for it is "long non-coding RNA (LUSI_LNC005227)". The record is from RNAcentral. Lineage: Eukaryota; Viridiplantae; Streptophyta; Magnoliopsida; Malpighiales; Linaceae.
CAUGUAAGCCCCGAUUUGGGAUCUAGGGUUGGAGUUUUUGAUUUAUAUGGCCUUCCUUUGACUUUUGUUGCUUUUUAACUUGUGCUAUGGCCUCCGGAUUGAUAGCAAGCGGAUGCUCCCAGAACAGACCAAGCAAUUGCUCACAUUCGAGCUUUUCCUCUUCCGCUUUUUGGUUUCUGUUUUCAAUGGAGUUGGGGAUCGAUGGAGAAGAAGAAACAAAGAGAUAAAAAGUAUCGCUGUCGACGACGCGGCCGGCAGCCGGAGAAGAGACGGAAAUAGAGAGGAGACCCAUGUAGAAAAGAAAAAAACUCGGUUCUGUUUCUUAAUAAAUUUGUCUAACAAAUGAAAGGAAAAAAGAGUGAUUUUCCAGGUUUAUUUAGGUGAACGAAAAAAAUCAGGGUUGGCUUAAUGGAGAUCGGCUAAAAGGAAGAACGAACUAAAGAGAAGGCACCUCCAGUAAGGGUAAAACACUUAAUCUCUAGGUACUCCGAUUCUGCUUGGAAGAUAAUAGUGGUUUUGUUAUCAAUCUGGUUGCUCAAAAUAUGAAUACUUUACUAUUUUUUUAUUGAAAUGAACCUAAUAACCUGAACACCUUAAAAACUGCCCCUUUAUUGAAAAAUUUGAUUAUCUGUUAUCUUUAAUAAAAAUCCAGCAACAAUAGUUAACAGAACCCAUGUUUUAGCUCGGUUUUGGCCUCAUAUUAUAAGUAGUUUUGUAGCUCUUAAGUUCUUGGUGUAAACGGUGUGAAAAGGGUAAUAGGAGGUUCCUUAAUCCACUUUUAAUUUGUUUUCCAGCUUCCUUUUUUGAACAAAAAAGUUUCAUUUUACCCUUGAAUUCAUUGUUUGCUUAAGUAGGUUGUUUAGUUGAUAGUUGUAGUGAAUAUUAGAUUAGAGGCUGCGUAAAUGGUAGUAAAAUAAACACUAUAGCAUAACGAGUAUAGCGAGCAAAUUGACAUGUAUUGAAACAGGAUAGUAUGUGAAUAACUGAAAAUUAGGAAGAGGUUUGUUUAGAAAUACCGACCUUCUUUUAAAGGAAGAAAACUGAUUUUUGCUCUUCUUCCUAGAUAGCGUGGACGAUAUAUCCUGGCCGCUUGCUCCAAGAGUUUAAGAAUUUGGAAGCUUCGAUGAUGGAUUCUCGAAGUCUCUAUUGGAAUCACUUUGUAUUUUUCUAUUUACUUUUAUCCCUAUUCUUUUGUAAUGGGCUUGGGUGUAAUGGGAUUGUGGUGUAGUGGGAUUGCGGUAUAGUUUUUUCGUUGUAAUUGGUAAAAAACUGCUAUCCUUUCUUCCUUGUUCUAUCCUCCCCCCUUUGGUUUUGGUCUUGAUUUUCCUUUUAAAUGAAAAGGGCUGCCACCUCCCUUGUCUUCAAAUCAAAAUUCA